RNAcentral lists this ribosomal RNA (460 nucleotides) under uncultured bacterium. RNAcentral's name for it is "partial 16S ribosomal RNA". It matches the Rfam family "Bacterial small subunit ribosomal RNA", at positions 338 to 795 of the family's 1533-position model. The record is from RNAcentral.
CCUACGGGAGGCAGCAGUGAGGAAUAUUGGUCAAUGGGCUUACGCCUGAACCAGCCAAGUCGCGUGAGGGAAGACUGCCCUAUGGGUUGUAAACCUCUUUUGUCAGGGAGUAAUCGGCGCCACGUGUAGCGUUAUCGAGAGUACCCGAAGAAAAGGCAUCGGCUAACGCCGUGCCAGCAGCCGCGGUAAUACGGAGGAUGCGAGGGUUAUCCGGUUUUAUUGGGUUUAAAGGGUGCGUAGGCGGAAUGCCAAGUCAGCGGUAAAAUCGCGGGGCUAACCCUCGCUCCGCAGUGGAAACUGGCGUUCUUGAGUGGGCGAGAGGUAUGCGGAAUGCGUGGUGUAGCGGUGAAAUGCAUAGAUAUCACGCAGAACUCCGAUUGCGAAGGCAGCAUACCGGCGCCCAACUGACGCUGAGGCACGAAGGCGUGGGUAUCGAACAGGAUUAGAUACCCGAGUAGUC